GAUGAACGCUAGCGGCAGGCCUAACACAUGCAAGUCGAGGGGUAGCAGGAUUAAGCUUGCUUAAUUGCUGACGACCGGCGCACGGGUGCGUAACGCGUAUGCAACCUACCUUAUACUGGGGUAUAGCCCGGAGAAAUUCGGAUUAAUCCCCCAUAGUACUAAUGAAUCGCAUGGUUUAUUAGUUAAAGCAUUGCGGUAUAAGAUGGGCAUGCGUCCUAUUAGCUAGAUGGUGAGGUAACGGCUCACCAUGGCUACGAUAGGUAGGGGGCCUGAGAGGGUGGUCCCCCACACUGGUACUGAGACACGGACAGACUCCUACGGGUGGCAGCAGUGAGGAAUAUUGGUCAAUGGGCGCAAGCCUGAACCAGCCAUGCCGCGUGCAGGAAGAAUGCCCUAUGGGUUGUAAACUGCUUUUAUUUGGGAAUAAACCUCUUUACGUGUAGAGAGCUGAAGGUACCAAAUGAAUAAGCACCGGCUAACUCCGUGCCAGCCGCCGCGGUAA
RNAcentral lists this ribosomal RNA (502 nucleotides) under uncultured bacterium. RNAcentral describes it as "partial 16S ribosomal RNA". It matches the Rfam family "Bacterial small subunit ribosomal RNA", at positions 28 to 523 of the family's 1533-position model. The record is from RNAcentral.